AGUGAACGCUGGCGCUAGGCCUAACACAUGCAAGUCGAACGGCAGCACAGUAAGAGCUUGCUCUUACGGGUGGCGAGUGGCGGACGGGUGAGGAAUACAUCGGAAUCUACUUUUUCGUGGGGGAUAACGUAGGGAAACUUACGCUAAUACCGCAUACGACCUACGGGUGAAAGCAGGGGAUCUUCGGACCUUGCGCGAUUGAAUGAGUCGAUGUCGGAUUAGCUAGUUGGCGGGGUAAAGGCCCACCAAGGCGACGAUCCGUAGCUGGUCUGAGAGGAUGAUCAGCCACACUGGAACUGAGACACGGUCCAGACUCCUACGGGAGGCAGCAGUGGGGAAUAUUGGACAAUGGGCGCAAGCCUGAUCCAGCCAUACCGCGUGGGUGAAGAAGGCCUUCGGGUUGUAAAGCCCUUUUGUUGGGAAAGAAAAGCAGCAGGUUAAUACCCCGCUGUUCUGACGGUACCCAAAGAAUAAGCACCGGCUAACUUCGUG
Molecule: ribosomal RNA, 492 nt
Filed under: uncultured bacterium
Lineage: Bacteria
Description: partial 16S ribosomal RNA
Rfam family: Bacterial small subunit ribosomal RNA
Source: RNAcentral